This 433-nucleotide ribosomal RNA is filed under the name uncultured bacterium. Its description in RNAcentral is "partial 16S ribosomal RNA". It matches the Rfam family "Bacterial small subunit ribosomal RNA", at positions 29 to 507 of the family's 1533-position model. The record is from RNAcentral.
AACGAACGCUGGCGGCAUGCCUAACACAUGCAAGUCGAACGAGACCUUCGGGUCUAGUGGCGAACGGGUGCGUAACGCGUGGGAACCUGCCCUUAGGUUCGGAAUAACUCCCCGAAAGGGGUGCUAAUACCGGAUAAUGUCUUCGGACCAAAGAUUUAUCGCCUUUGGAUGGGCCCGCGUUGGUUUAGCUAGUUGGUAGGGUAAAAGCCUACCAAGGCGACGAUCCAUAGCUGGUCUGAGAGGAUGAUCAGCCACACUGGGACUGAGACACGGCCCAGACUCCUACGGGAGGCAGCAGUGGGGAAUAUUGGACAAUGGGCGAAAGCCUGAUCCAGCAAUGCCGCGUGAGUGAUGAAGGCCUUAGGGUUGUAAAGCUCUUUUACCCGGGAUGAUAAUGACAGUACCGGGAGAAUAAGCUCCGGCUAACUCCGUG